RNAcentral lists this long non-coding RNA (273 nucleotides) under Physcomitrium patens. Its description in RNAcentral is "long non-coding RNA (PPAT_LNC008357)". Lineage: Eukaryota; Viridiplantae; Streptophyta; Bryopsida; Funariales; Funariaceae. The record is from RNAcentral.
AUAGACGUGUUAUAACAUGACAUCCACCCCCUAUGAACCUGUGCAUCUUCCGGUAUGCACCAAUUAACCUAAUUGCCGUUUGACUAAUAAUAUGAUCUCCAAAUCUUCGUCUAGUCCAUCUCCACCGUCUCUGCUAUCCAAAUCAAUUUCAUCUUCUCACUGUGGAAUAUCUAUAUCUUCAUUAAGGUCUUCUAUAUUUAUUUCUGCAUUUCUUUGUUUAAACAAUUUUACUCUCUUCUCUGUAAUUGGUAUUUUUAACCUUGUGCCAUCUAA